This 482-nucleotide ribosomal RNA is filed under the name uncultured bacterium. RNAcentral's name for it is "partial 16S ribosomal RNA". It matches the Rfam family "Bacterial small subunit ribosomal RNA", at positions 30 to 507 of the family's 1533-position model. The record is from RNAcentral.
AUUGAACGCUGGCGGCAUGCCUUACACAUGCAAGUCGAACGGUAACGGGCCUUCGGGUGCCGACGAGUGGCGAACGGGUGAGUAAUACAUCGGAACGUGCCCGAUCGUGGGGGAUAACGAGGCGAAAGCUUUGCUAAUACCGCAUACGAUCUACGGAUGAAAGCAGGGGACCGCAAGGCCUUGCGCGGACGGAGCGGCCGAUGGCAGAUUAGGUAGUUGGUGGGAUAAAAGCUUACCAAGCCGACGAUCUGUAGCUGGUCUGAGAGGAUGAUCAGCCACACUGGGACUGAGACACGGCCCAGACUCCUACGGGAGGCAGCAGUGGGGAAUUUUGGACAAUGGGCGCAAGCCUGAUCCAGCCAUGCCGCGUGCAGGAUGAAGGCCUUCGGGUUGUAAACUGCUUUUGUACGGAACAAAAAGCCUUCUUUUAAUACAGGAGGGUCAUGACGGUACCGUAAGAAUAAGCACCGGCUAACUACGUG